RNAcentral lists this ribosomal RNA (500 nucleotides) under uncultured bacterium. RNAcentral's name for it is "partial 16S ribosomal RNA". It matches the Rfam family "Bacterial small subunit ribosomal RNA", at positions 29 to 523 of the family's 1533-position model. The record is from RNAcentral.
AUUGAACGCUGGCGGCAUGCCUUACACAUGCAAGUCGAACGGCAGCGCGGACUUCGGUCUGGCGGCGAGUGGCGAACGGGUGAGUAAUACAUCGGAACGUACCCUGUUGUGGGGGAUAACUAGUCGAAAGAUUAGCUAAUACCGCAUACGUCCUGAGGGUGAAAGUGGGGGACCGCAAGGCCUCACGCAGCAGGAGCGGCCGAUGUCUGAUUAGCUAGUUGGUGGGGUAAAGGCCCACCAAGGCGACGGUCAGGAGCUGGUCUGAGAGGACGAUCAGCCACACUGGGACUGAGACACGGCCCAGACUCCUACGGGAGGCAGCAGUGGGGAAUUUUGGACAAGGGGGGCAACCCUGAUCCAGCAAUGCCCCGUGUGUGAAGAAGGCCUUCGGGUUGUAAAGCACUUUUGUCCGGAAAGAAAUCGCGCUGGUUAAUACCUGGCGUGGAUGACGGUACCGGAAGAAUAAGCACCGGCUAACUACGUGCCAGCCGCCGCCGUAA